UCGGGAAUUUUGGGCAAUGGGCGAAAGCCUGACCCAGCAACGCCGCGUGAAGGAUGAAGUAUUUCGGUAUGUAAACUUCGUAAGAAUAGGAAGAAUAAAUGACGGUACUAUUUGUAAGGUCCGGCUAACUACGUGCCAGCAGCCGCGGUAAUACGUAGGGACCAAGCGUUGUUCGGAUUUACUGGGCGUAAAGGGCGCGUAGGCGGUGUGUCAAGUCAGUUGUGAAAUCUCCGAGCUUAACUCGGAACGGUCAACUGAUACUGUCACACUAGAGUACAGAAGGGGCAAUCGGAAUUCUUGGUGUAGCGGUGAAAUGCGUAGAUAUCAAGAGGAACACCUGAGGCGAAGGCGGGUUGCUGGGCUGAUACUGACGCUGAGGCGCGAAAGCUAGGGUAGCAAACGGGAUUAGAACCCAUGUAGUCCCUGAGCGGGCUGGCAAGGCGCAU
Molecule: ribosomal RNA, 446 nt
Filed under: uncultured bacterium
Lineage: Bacteria
Description: bacterial SSU rRNA
Rfam family: Bacterial small subunit ribosomal RNA
Source: RNAcentral